Molecule: transfer RNA, 71 nt
Filed under: Heliconius melpomene (postman butterfly)
Lineage: Eukaryota; Metazoa; Arthropoda; Insecta; Lepidoptera; Nymphalidae
Description: tRNA HMEL004889
Rfam family: tRNA
About the family: Transfer RNA (tRNA) molecules are approximately 80 nucleotides in length.
Source: RNAcentral
UCAUCGGUGGUUCAGUGGUAGAAAGCCCACCUGCCACGCGGGCAGCCCGGGUUCGAUUUCCGGCCAAUGCA